GACGRAUCAGCAUCAYGUGCCMUYUKUGGACCGUAGCAAGACGGACUACAGCGAAAGCAUUUGGCAAGAAUGUCUUCAUUAAUCAAGAACGAAAGUCAGAGGUUCGAAGGCGAUCAGAUACCGCCCUAGUUCUGACCGUAAACGAUGCCAACUAGCGAUCCGCCGGCGGAUUUAUUCGCCCUGGUGGGGAGCUUCCCGGAAACGAAAGUCUUCCGGUUCCGGGGGAAGUAUGGUUGCAAAGCUGAAACUUAAAGGAAUUGACGGAAGGGCACCACCAGGAGUGGAGCCUGCGGCUUAAUUUGACUCAACACGGGGAAACUCACCCGGCCCGGACACCGUAAGGAUUGACAGAUUGAUAGCUUUUUCAUGAUUCGGUGGAUGGUGGUGCAUGGCCGUUCUUAGUUCGUGGAGCGAUUUGUCUGGUUUAUUCCGAUAACGAGCGAGACUCUAGCCUACUAAAUAGUUGGCUCAUUGCUACUGUGGGCACAACUUCUUAGAGGGAUUUUCGGUGUUCAGCCGCACGAAAUUGAGCAAUAACAGGUCUGUGAUGCCCUUAGAUGUCCGGGGCUGCACGCGCGCUACACUGGCAAAAUCAGCGUGCUUGUCCUUCCCCGAAAGGGGUUGGUAAACCGGUGAAAAUUUGCCGUGAUUGGGAUCGGACAUUGCAAUUAUUGUCCGUGAACGAGGAAUUCCUUGUAGGGGCGAGUCAUCAACUCGCUCUGAUUACGUCCCCCCCYYUUKGUAA
RNAcentral lists this ribosomal RNA (745 nucleotides) under Punctodera stonei. RNAcentral describes it as "SSU rRNA". It matches the Rfam family "Eukaryotic small subunit ribosomal RNA", at positions 924 to 1685 of the family's 1831-position model. The record is from RNAcentral. Lineage: Eukaryota; Metazoa; Nematoda; Chromadorea; Rhabditida; Heteroderidae.